This 465-nucleotide ribosomal RNA is filed under the name uncultured bacterium. Its description in RNAcentral is "bacterial SSU rRNA". It matches the Rfam family "Bacterial small subunit ribosomal RNA", at positions 330 to 792 of the family's 1533-position model. The record is from RNAcentral.
GCCAGACUCCUACGGGAGGCAGCAGUGAGGAAUAUUGGUCAAUGGGCUUACGCCUGAACCAGCCAAGUCGCGUGAGGGAAGACUGCCCUAUGGGUUGUAAACCUCUUUUGUCAGGGAGCAACGCCGGCUACGUGUAGCCGGACUGAGAGUACCUGAAGAAAAAGCAUCGGCUAACUCCGUGCCAGCAGCCGCGGUAAUACGGAGGAUGCGAGCGUUAUCCGGAUUUAUUGGGUUUAAAGGGUGCGUAGGCGGAAUGCCAAGUCAGCGGUAAAAUCGCGGGGCUCAACCUCGCUCCGCCGUUGAAACUGGCGUUCUUGAGUGGGCGAGAAGUAUGCGGAAUGCGUGGUGUAGCGGUGAAAUGCAUAGAUAUCACACAGAACACCGAUUGCGAAGGCAUCUCACGAAUCCGCGAUUGACGCUGAUGCACGAAAGCGUGGGUAUCAAACAGGAUUAGAUACCCCAGUA